CCUACGGGUGGCAGCAGUGGGGAAUAUUGCACAAUGGGGGAAACCCUGAUGCAGCGACGCCGCGUGAGUGAAGAAGUAUUUCGGUAUGUAAAGCUCUAUCAGCAGGGAAGAAGAAAGACGGUACCUGACUAAGAAGCCCCGGCUAACUGCGUGCCAGCAGCCGCGGUAAUACGUAGGGGGCAAGCGUUAUCCGGAUUUACUGGGUGUAAAGGGAGCGUAGACGGCUGUGCAAGGCUGAAGUGAAAGUCCAGGGCUCAACCCUGGGACUGCGAUGGAAACUGUGGGGCUUGAGUGCUGGAGAGGUAAGUGGAAUUCCUAGUGUAGCGGUGAAAUGCGUAGAUAUUAGGAGGAACACCAGUGGCGAAGGCGGCUUACUGGACCGUAACUGACGUUGAGGCUCGAAAGCGUGGGGAGCAAACAGGAUUAGAUACCCGAGUAGUC
This 441-nucleotide ribosomal RNA is filed under the name uncultured bacterium. RNAcentral describes it as "partial 16S ribosomal RNA". It matches the Rfam family "Bacterial small subunit ribosomal RNA", at positions 338 to 795 of the family's 1533-position model. The record is from RNAcentral.